RNAcentral lists this ribosomal RNA (478 nucleotides) under uncultured bacterium. RNAcentral's name for it is "partial 16S ribosomal RNA". It matches the Rfam family "Bacterial small subunit ribosomal RNA", at positions 28 to 523 of the family's 1533-position model. The record is from RNAcentral.
GACGAACGCUGGCGGCGUGCUUAACACAUGCAAGUCGAACGGUAAGGCCCUUCGGGGUACACGAGUGGCGAACGGGUGAGUAACACGUGGGUGAUCUGCCCUGCACUUCGGGAUAAGCCUGGGAAACUGGGUCUAAUACCGGAUAGGACCACUGCCUGCAUGGGUGGUGGUGGAAAGCUUUUGCGGUGUGGGAUGGGCCCGCGGCCUAGCAGCUUGUUGGUGGGGUGAUGGCCUACCAAGGCGACGACGGGUAGCCGGCCUGAGAGGGUGACCGGCCACACUGAGACUGAGAUACGGCCCAGACCCCUACGGGAGGCAGCAGUGGGGAAUAUUGCACAAUGGGCGCAAGCCUGAUGCAGCGACGCCGCGUGAGGGAUGACGGCCUUCGGGUUGUAAACCUCUUUCAGCACCGACGAAGCGCAAGUGACGGUAGGUGCAGAAGAAGGACCGGCCAACUACGUGCCAGCCGCCGCGGUAA